This 585-nucleotide ribosomal RNA is filed under the name uncultured bacterium. RNAcentral describes it as "bacterial SSU rRNA". It matches the Rfam family "Bacterial small subunit ribosomal RNA", at positions 878 to 1471 of the family's 1533-position model. The record is from RNAcentral.
GAGUACGGUCGCAAGCUGAACUUCAAGAAUGACGGGCCGCACAAGCGGUGAGCAAUGUGUUAUUGAAGCACGCGAGACCAUACCAGUCUGACAUCCUCUGACACCUAGAGAUAGGCUUCUCCUUCGGAGCAAGAGUGACCAGGUGGUGCAUGGUGUCGUCAGCUCGUGUCGUGAGAUGUUGGGUAAGUCCCGCAACGAGCGCCAACCUUGAUUCUUAGUUGCCAGCAUUCAAGUUGGGCCACUCUAAGGUGACUGCCGGUGACCAAAACCGGAGGAAGGUGGGGAUGACGUCAAAUCAUCAUGCCCCUUAUGACCUGGGCUACACACGUGCUACAAAUGGACAGAACAAAGAGCAGCGAGACCGCGAGGUUAAGCCAAUACCCACAAAUCCGUUCUCAGUUCGGAUCGCAGUCUGCAACUACGACUGCAUGAAGCUGGAAUCGCUAGUAAUCGCGGAUCAGCAGCCGCGGUGAAUACGUAUCCCGGGCCUAUGUACACACCGCCCGUCACACCACGAGAGUUUGUAACACCCGAAGUACGGUGAGGUAACCUAUUAUGGAGCCAGCCGCCGAUAGGUGGGACAGA